UACGUAGGUGGCAAGCGUUGUUCGGAAUUACUGGGCGUAAAGCGCGCGUAGGCGGCUCUUCAAGUCAGGCGUGAAAGCCCCGGGCUUAACUCGGGAACUGCGCUUGAUACUGUCGAGCUAGAGUGUGGAAGGGGCGAUUGGAAUUCCGUGUGUAGCGGUGAAAUGCGUAGAUAUACGGAGGAACACCAGGGGCGAAGGCGGAUCGCUGGGCCAACACUGACGCUGAUGUGCGAAAGCUAGGGGAGCAAACGGG
This 253-nucleotide ribosomal RNA is filed under the name uncultured bacterium. RNAcentral's name for it is "partial 16S ribosomal RNA". It matches the Rfam family "Bacterial small subunit ribosomal RNA", at positions 524 to 776 of the family's 1533-position model. The record is from RNAcentral.